GUCCCUAUAGUUCAACGGAUAGAACGAGAGUUUCCUAAACUCUAGAUGAAGGUUCGAUUCCUUCUGGGGAUA
RNAcentral lists this transfer RNA (72 nucleotides) under Caudoviricetes sp. Its description in RNAcentral is "tRNA-Arg". It matches the Rfam family "tRNA". Rfam says of the family: Transfer RNA (tRNA) molecules are approximately 80 nucleotides in length. Lineage: Duplodnaviria; Heunggongvirae; Uroviricota; Caudoviricetes. The record is from RNAcentral.